This is a long non-coding RNA of Photinus pyralis (common eastern firefly), 845 nucleotides long. RefSeq lists it as uncharacterized. The transcript is spliced from 4 exons. The record is from RefSeq and is a predicted model, not a curated record. NCBI's taxonomy places the organism in Eukaryota, Metazoa, Arthropoda, Insecta, Coleoptera, Lampyridae.
CGUCUGUCGCAGCAAUUAAAUUCGAAUCAAAAAUGAAUUACCUAUACAAAUGUACAAUGAUGUACCUACAGUGAUUGAAUCAUUAAAAAAAAAUGCUGCUGCUACUCGCACUACUCGCGCAAGUGAACGCGUUUCAAAAUGCGUACGAUGUUUUUCCAGAACGUAUGGAAGUCGAAUAUUACGAUCCCACCAUUUUGAACGUUUCCUGCACUAACUAAAAGUAUAACCGAACAACGCGUACGUUUAUUUUAACGGCAACGUUGAAGAUUGAUGCAACUGAUGGAGAUCUCGUUUUGAUAACGGGUUACAAAUGGCUGAGUAAUCGUUAUCGCCUGGACAUCCUUCAAUUCAACUUGACACUCAAAGAUGCAAUUCGCUUCAAGUACUUUGAUAUAGAUCGCAUGAUGCAAUCCUGUACGACACCUCGCAUCGAAUGGCCUGUCAUUAAAGGGGUUAAACAUACAUUAAGGGAUUGGGUGCCUGACAGUUCUAAGUUUCCUCCGGGCAUGCCAGAGGGAAGGUGGAAAAUAGGGAUGCGAUUUUUUUCGUUCAACGGGAUACAUAUCAUGUCUCUUAACUGGUACUGUGCCCUGAAAUACAAGCUUAAAAUGGAAUGGAAGUAAUGCGAUAACCACAUAAUAUUCCUAUUUACACUUUAAAUACUAGUAGGAUAGCAAGUUGUGGUGUUUUAAUGUUAGUAAUAGUAAAACACAAAGUUUGUAUCUACAGUAAGUGCACACGCCACCCACAUAACACCUUCACGCCUCCGUACGCGGUCAUAUAGUUUGAUAUUCGUGUGUGUAAAUAAAUAAAGUUAGUUUGCCCACCAGUGUAAUAUUUAUGUA